Molecule: ribosomal RNA, 253 nt
Filed under: uncultured bacterium
Lineage: Bacteria
Description: partial 16S ribosomal RNA
Rfam family: Bacterial small subunit ribosomal RNA
Source: RNAcentral
UACGUAGGUCCCGAGCGUUAUCCGGAUUUAUUGGGCGUAAAGGGAACGCAGGCGGUCUUUUAAGUCUGAUGUGAAAGCCUUCGGUUUAACCGGAGUAGUGCAUUGGAAACUGGGAGACUUGAGUGCAGAAGAGGAGAGUGGAACUCCAUGUGUAGCGGUGAAAUGCGUAGAUAUAUGGAAGAACACCAGUGGCGAAAGCGGCUCUCUGGUCUGUAACUGACGCUGAGGUUCGAAAGCGUGGGUAGCAAACAGG